RNAcentral lists this ribosomal RNA (253 nucleotides) under uncultured bacterium. RNAcentral's name for it is "partial 16S ribosomal RNA". It matches the Rfam family "Bacterial small subunit ribosomal RNA", at positions 524 to 776 of the family's 1533-position model. The record is from RNAcentral.
GACGGAGGGUGCUAGCGUUGUUCGGAAUCACUGGGCGUAAAGGGCGCGCAGGCGGCCUUUUCAGUCGGGCGUGAAAGCCCGGGGCUCAACCCCGGAACGGCGCCCGAGACGGGAAGGCUGGAGACCGGGAGAGGAGGGUGGAAUAGCCAGUGUAGAGGUGAAAUUCGUAGAUAUUGGCUGGAACACCGGUGGCGAAAGCGGCUCUCUGGCCCGGUUCUGACGCUGAGGCGCGAAAGCGUGGGGAGCAAACAGG